AUACGGAGGGUGCAAGCGUUAAUCGGAAUUACUGGGCGUAAAGCGCACGCAGGCGGUCUGUCAAGUCGGAUGUGAAAUCCCCGGGCUCAACCUGGGAACUGCAUUCGAAACUGGCAGACUAGAGUCUUGUAGAGGGGGGUAGAAUUCCAGGUGUGGCGGUGAAAUGCGUAGAGAUCUGGAGGAAUACCGGUGGCGAAGGCGGCCCCCUGGACAAAGACUGACGCUCAGGUGCGAAGGCGUGGGGAGCAAACAGGAUUAGAUACCCUGGUAGUCCACGCCGUAAACGAUGUCGACUUGGAGGUUGUGCCCUUGAGGCGUGGCUUCCGGAGCUAACGCGUUAAGUCGACCGCCUGGGGAGUACGGCCGCAAGGUUAAA
Molecule: ribosomal RNA, 376 nt
Filed under: uncultured bacterium
Lineage: Bacteria
Description: bacterial SSU rRNA
Rfam family: Bacterial small subunit ribosomal RNA
Source: RNAcentral